Non-coding RNA from Homo sapiens (human), 88 nucleotides. Lineage: Eukaryota; Metazoa; Chordata; Mammalia; Primates; Hominidae. The record is from RefSeq and is marked provisional.
GGGUCAAGGAGGAGCGGGGAUUAGUUCUAGGGGCUGUAGGAGGGUGACAGUCCUGGACUGAAGGUCACCUGCUUGGCUCUGAUGAUUU